UCUCAACCCCACCAGACAGGAAGCCACACAGUCACUUCUGGAGGGGAAUAGUCCUGUGAGCUGGGGAUGGAGGGCUGGGAGAGAUGGUGCAGACUGGGACCGGCCACUCCUUGGACGCCUGUGGUGGAGGGUCCUGUCCUUUACCAUGGCCACCAUACCUCUGGGUGUGGACAGCAUCUGCUGAUGGAGGAAUUCCCAGCAAUGUCCCUCUGUGAUGCAUGCGGUGACUUUCCAGGCACCUUCAGACCAGAGCCAGUGGUAGCACUGGCAUCUCAGUCUCCUCCUGUGGGGGCUGGCUCGGCCUGCAGGAUGGCUGGGACACCCUGGACAGCCAGCUCGGGCAUUGUCCUUGCAGAUCCGGGAUGUUCCAGGAACAGCGGUAUAAAUCCUGUUGAGAACUGGCCAGGAGAGACCAGGAUCGGACAUCGGUGGUAUUUGGCCCCUCUGGACACCGGUCUGCAGAAGGAGAGAGGCCACCCUGACGGUAUUCCAGGGCUAGGCCACCCUGACGGUAUUCUGGGGCUCUGGGUAGACUGGUCCCGGUCGGGCCUUAUCGCCAAUCAGCCGACCCGAAGGAGUUUAUCGGGAAAGCCUCUAGAGACAGGGAAAAUGAAUAUGGCAUGAAAUUUUCUAAAGGCAAAUUACGAACCCUGUGUCAGUUAAGGUACAUUGUUUUUCUGGGGGUACUUUUGUGAGCCGUCCCAGGGGCCCAGUUCUUGCUCCUGGGCUGCCCGCGUCCCUGCUGCCCAUGUCCCUGCUGCCCCCAGAUGCCCCAGACUUUCUGGUCCCGGUUCCUGGAACUCGUCGGACUCUCAUUUAACUUGACACUUCUGAGUGUUCUGUGUUCUCUGCCCGGAACCGUCGCCCAUCUGCUCUCUUGGCUUCAUGGCCCUUCCUUUCCCAGACACCGGGCAAGGUGUCCUGGUUCUGGAAUUCGUGG
This 940-nucleotide long non-coding RNA is filed under the name Heterocephalus glaber (naked mole-rat). RNAcentral describes it as "lncRNA (ENSHGLG00000037223.1)". The record is from RNAcentral. Lineage: Eukaryota; Metazoa; Chordata; Mammalia; Rodentia; Bathyergidae.